GCCGGCCUGGGAGAUCGGCUGGACACCGGCGGCCUGCAGCUUCGCGAACGCGGCGACCAGGUCGUCCCAGGUGGCCGGCAC
RNAcentral lists this transfer RNA (81 nucleotides) under Actinoplanes cyaneus. Its description in RNAcentral is "tRNA-Cys". The record is from RNAcentral. Lineage: Bacteria; Bacillati; Actinomycetota; Actinomycetes; Micromonosporales; Micromonosporaceae.